CGACUGCUCCGGGUGCCGGGCGUGCGCCGGCACGCGGCGGGCGCCCUGCCGGAGCUGCGGCGGCUCCGGCACGGGCCGCCGCGCCCCCGUCCGCGUCUCCUCCUCCGCGCCGCCGUCACGGUGACCGGGAUCGGAAGGAGAAGCUGUGUCGCCUCUCGCCGCCGAUGGAUCGAUCAAACCCCCCAGGCUCGCCGUCGCCGGCGUCGAGCUAGGCAGAGCUUAUAGUUGGUUCUUGAUUUCUCCCGUUGCUGGGAAGGAGAUGAACCUGCAACAUCUGCAUGAACAGCUCAGAGCACUAGAUUAGCAGAAGAUUAAUUAGUUAGCUGAUCAGUAGUUGUAGCACUAGCUUAGCUAGUUCAAUCAAAAGGCUCUGUGCUUGUCUGAUCUGUCCAUUCCAGUCACUGAUGCUGCUGCUGUUCAAUCAAGGCUCGAUGUGUAAUUAGCAGCAGCAGAUAAGCAGAUUAGUUAGCUGAUUAAUUGUAGUGGCAGCAGCUAGUUCAAUCAAGGCUCGAUUUAUGUGAUUAUGUCUCUCUGACCUGUUCAUGCCAGCCACUGAUGCUGCUGCUGUUGAAUUGCUUGCCCAGCUUGAUCCAACCUCACUGUCAAAAGUGGAGAAAUGAAACAAACUGUGAACAUGUACUGUGUUCAUCUAUCAGCAACAUCUCUUAAUUUUGAGCAGCUCGCUCCGGUCCUUUCUACUUGGAGUAGAAUAUGAGCCGUUGAUCGUAUUUAAUCGUAAGGUUGAGAUCUAGUUCUACUCCCACCAAAUUUUAUGGGAGUAGAAAUGUGGAGGGGUAUAUUUGUCUAGAGAUAAUAAUUCGCGUGGAGGUAUUAUCAUAAUUUGCCAUUAUCUAACUGUUCACCCUCUCCCUAUCCUAUUCUAAUCAACGUCAUUCCCCUCCAUCCCUCUCCUUCAUCGCCCGUUCCUCUCCAUACCCGUCUUUGUCGCUGGUCCUUCUCCCUCGCUGCCUCCGUCCCCUCCAGCGCCGUCGCCUCCCCUGGCCUCGCCGCCUUCUCUGCAGCAGCGUUUUCUUAUAGGGUACAGCGGACUUAUAGCUACAAGCUGAUCAUAGAAGUGAAUUUUGCUGCUGAUGAUAUGGAUCAUGUUGUUAUAGCUUACGCCCACCACGGGUUGUCG
Molecule: long non-coding RNA, 1138 nt
Filed under: Oryza sativa (Asian cultivated rice)
Lineage: Eukaryota; Viridiplantae; Streptophyta; Magnoliopsida; Poales; Poaceae
Description: long non-coding RNA (OSAT_LNC000762)
Source: RNAcentral